This 383-nucleotide unclassified non-coding RNA is filed under the name uncultured bacterium. Its description in RNAcentral is "contains 16S-23S intergenic spacer region". The record is from RNAcentral.
UCCUGGUUUCCCAGGCAGUCCCACCAGAGUGCCCCUAAAAGGGUAGCAACUGAUAGCAAGGGUUGCGCUCGUUAUAGGACUUAACCCAACAUCUCACGACACGAGCUGACGACAGCCAUGCAGCACCUGUGCAAAUGUCUCUGGUUUCCCAGAGAAGACUAUAUUUCUAUAGCUGUCAUAUGCAUGUCAAGCCUAGGUAAGGUUCCUCGCGUAGUGUCGAAUUAAACCACAUGUUCCACCGCUUGUGCGGACCCCCGUCAAUUCCUUUGAGUUUUAAUCUUGCGACCGUAGUCCCCAGGCGGAUCACUUAACGCGUUAGCUGCGACACUAAUCCCGCUAAGCGGAACUAACGUCUAGUGAUCAUCGUUUACGGCGUGGACUAC